GGUUAAGUUAGAAAGGGCGCACGGUGGAUGCCUUGACACUAGGAGUCGAUGAAGGACGGGACUAACGCCGAUAUGCUUCGGGGAGCUGUAAGUAAGCUUUGAUCCGAAGAUUUCCGAAUGGGGAAACCCACCAUACGUAAUGGUAUGGUAUCCUUAUCUGAAUACAUAGGGUAAGGAAGACAGACCCAGGGAACUGAAACAUCUAAGUACCUGGAGGAAGAGAAAGCAAAUGCGAUUUCCUGAGUAGCGGCGAGCGAAACGGAACAUAGCCCAAACCAAGAGGCUUGCCUCUUGGGGUUGUAGGACAUUCUAUACGGAGUUACAAAGGAACGAGGUAGACGAAGCGACCUGGAAAGGUCCGUCGUAGAGGGUAACAACCCCGUAGUCGAAACUUCGUUCUCUCUUGAAUGUAUCCUGAGUACGGCGGAACACGUGAAAUUCCGUCGGAAUCUGGGAGGACCAUCUCCCAAGGCUAAAUACUCCCUAGUGAUCGAUAGUGAACCAGUACCGUGAGGGAAAGGUGAAAAGCACCCCGGACGGGAGUGAAAGAGAUCCUGAAACCGUGUGCCUACAAUAGUCAGAGCCCGUUAACGGGUGAUGGCGUGCCUUUUGUAGAAUGAACCCGGCGAGUUACGAUCCCGUGCGAGGUUAAGCUGAAGAGGCGGAGCCGCAGCGAAAGCGAGUCUGAAUAGGGCGUUUAGUACGUGGUCGUAGACCCGAAACCAGGUGAUCUACCCAUGUCCAGGGUGAAGUUCAGGUAACACUGAAUGGAGGCCCGAACCCACGCACGUUGAAAAGUGCGGGGAUGAGGUGUGGGUAGCGGAGAAAUUCCAAUCGAACCUGGAGAUAGCUGGUUCUCCCCGAAAUAGCUUUAGGGCUAGCCUUAAGUGUAAGAGUCUUGGAGGUAGAGCACUGAUUGGACUAGGGGUCCUCAUCGGAUUACCGAAUUCAGUCAAACUCCGAAUGCCAAUGACUUAUCCUUAGGAGUCAGACUGCGAGUGAUAAGAUCCGUAGUCAAAAGGGAAACAGCCCAGACCGCCAGCUAAGGUCCCAAAGUGUGUAUUAAGUGGAAAAGGAUGUGGAGUUGCUUAGACAACUAGGAUGUUGGCUUAGAAGCAGCCACCAUUUAAAGAGUGCGUAAUAGCUCACUAGUCGAGUGACUCUGCGCCGAAAAUGUACCGGGGCUAAAUACACCACCGAAGCUGCGGAUUGAUACCGAAUGGUAUCAGUGGUAGGGGAGCGUUCUAAGGACAGUGAAGUCAGACCGGAAGGACUGGUGGAGUGCUUAGAAGUGAGAAUGCCGGUAUGAGUAGCGAAAGACGGGUGAGAAUCCCGUCCACCGAAUGCCUAAGGUUUCCUGAGGAAGGCUCGUCCGCUCAGGGUUAGUCAGGACCUAAGCCGAGGCCGACAGGCGUAGGCGAUGGACAACAGGUUGAUAUUCCUGUACCACCUCUUUAUCGUUUGAGCAAUGGAGGGACGCAGAAGGAUAGAAGAAGCGUGCGAUUGGUUGUGCACGUCCAAGCAGUUAGGCUGAUAAGUAGGCAAAUCCGCUUAUCGUAAAGGCUGAGCUGUGAUGGGGAAGCUCCUUAUGGAGCGAAGUCUUUGAUUCCCCGCUGCCAAGAAAAGCUUCUAGCGAGAUAAAAGGUGCCUGUACCGCAAACCGACACAGGUAGGCGAGGAGAGAAUCCUAAGGUGUGCGAGAGAACUCUGGUUAAGGAACUCGGCAAAAUGACCCCGUAACUUCGGGAGAAGGGGUGCUUUCUUAACGGAAAGCCGCAGUGAAUAGGCCCAAGCGACUGUUUAGCAAAAACACAGCUCUCUGCGAAGCCGUAAGGCGAAGUAUAGGGGGUGACACCUGCCCGGUGCUGGAAGGUUAAGGAGAGGGGUUAGCGUAAGCGAAGCUCUGAACUGAAGCCCCAGUAAACGGCGGCCGUAACUAUAACGGUCCUAAGGUAGCGAAAUUCCUUGUCGGGUAAGUUCCGACCCGCACGAAAGGUGUAACGAUUUGGGCACUGUCUCAACCAGAGACUCGGUGAAAUUAUAGUACCUGUGAAGAUGCAGGUUACCCGCGACAGGACGGAAAGACCCCGUGGAGCUUUACUGUAGCCUGAUAUUGAAUUUUGGUACAGUUUGUACAGGAUAGGCGGGAGCCUUUGAAACCGGAGCGCUAGCUUCGGUGGAGGCGCUGGUGGGAUACCGCCCUGACUGUAUUGAAAUUCUAACCUACGGGUCUUAUCGACCCGGGAGACAGUGUCAGGUGGGCAGUUUGACUGGGGCGGUCGCCUCCUAAAGUGUAACGGAGGCGCCCAAAGGUUCCCUCAGAAUGGUUGGAAAUCAUUCGUAGAGUGCAAAGGCAUAAGGGAGCUUGACUGCGAGACCUACAAGUCGAGCAGGGACGAAAGUCGGGCUUAGUGAUCCGGUGGUUCCGCAUGGAAGGGCCAUCGCUCAACGGAUAAAAGCUACCCCGGGGAUAACAGGCUUAUCUCCCCCAAGAGUCCACAUCGACGGGGAGGUUUGGCACCUCGAUGUCGGCUCAUCGCAUCCUGGGGCUGUAGUCGGUCCCAAGGGUUGGGCUGUUCGCCCAUUAAAGCGGUACGCGAGCUGGGUUCAGAACGUCGUGAGACAGUUCGGUCCCUAUCCGUCGUGGGCGUAGGAAAUUUGAGAGGAGCUGUCCUUAGUACGAGAGGACCGGGAUGGACGCACCGCUGGUGUACCAGUUGUUCUGCCAAGGGCAUAGCUGGGUAGCUAUGUGCGGAAGGGAUAAGUGCUGAAAGCAUCUAAGCAUGAAGCCCCCCUCAAGAUGAGAUUUCCCAUAGCGUAAGCUAGUAAGAUCCCUGAAAGAUGAUCAGGUUGAUAGGUUCGAGGUGGAAGCAUGGUGACAUGUGGAGCUGACGAAUACUAAUAGAUCGAGGACUUAACCAUAUA
This 2925-nucleotide ribosomal RNA is filed under the name Bacillus thuringiensis serovar finitimus YBT-020. RNAcentral's name for it is "bacterial LSU rRNA". It matches the Rfam family "Bacterial large subunit ribosomal RNA". The record is from RNAcentral. Lineage: Bacteria; Bacillati; Bacillota; Bacilli; Caryophanales; Bacillaceae.